CCCUUAGAUGUUCUGGGCCGCACGCGCGCUACACUGACGAAGUCAGCGAGCAUGUCCUACGCCGACAGGUGCGGGGAAUCUUGUCAAACUUCGUCGUGAUGGGGAUUGAUUAUUGAAAUUCUUGAUCAUCAACGAGGAAUUCCUAGUAAGCGUAAGUCAGCAGCUUGCGUUGAUUACGUCCCUGCCCUUUGUACACACCGCCCGUCGCUACUACCGAUUGAAUGGUUUAGUGAGAUCUUCGGAUUGGCGCCACUGCGGCUCAGCAAUGGGCUCGGUGGAUGCCGAAAAGUUGAUCAAACUUGAUCAUUUAGAGGAAGUAAAAGUCGUAACA
RNAcentral lists this ribosomal RNA (331 nucleotides) under uncultured eukaryote. RNAcentral's name for it is "partial 18S ribosomal RNA". It matches the Rfam family "Eukaryotic small subunit ribosomal RNA", at positions 1470 to 1796 of the family's 1831-position model. The record is from RNAcentral.